This is a long non-coding RNA of Ostrea edulis (European flat oyster), 436 nucleotides long. RefSeq lists it as uncharacterized. The transcript has 2 exons. The record is from RefSeq and is a predicted model, not a curated record. Lineage: Eukaryota; Metazoa; Mollusca; Bivalvia; Ostreida; Ostreidae.
AUGAAUUUACCUCUGGAGACAUUGCAUGUAUUGCUACUAGAUAAUAAAAUCCAUUGUAUCAAAUCUUUUCAGGUCACCAUGGGCAUGGUCAUGGUCAAGGACAGAAUCAGCAUAUCCAGCUGCUGAAAAAUUUGUCCAAAAAACAGCUACAAGCGCUUUUGGUAAUAGCACAACAACAAGCUGCAAAUGACAAUAACGCUGAUCACGAGUUCUUUUGGGGUGUAAUCAUACACACAAUCCAAGCUUUAAUCAAGAGUAAAUAAGGCAAGGAGUACGGAUAUGCCGGCGGAUACUAAUGAAUUCUUCAAAAAACGACAUUGGACCUCUCACUACCCAGAGCUUUCACUUCUUUCUAUGUAUCAAUAUAACAUGUUUACAUGAUGAGUUGUAUCCUGAGUUCUGAUUACCGCACAGUAAACUAAAUCUGAGUCAAAAA